Macadamia integrifolia is the source of this 405-nucleotide long non-coding RNA. RefSeq lists it as uncharacterized. The record is from RefSeq and is a predicted model, not a curated record. The transcript has 2 exons. NCBI's taxonomy places the organism in Eukaryota, Viridiplantae, Streptophyta, Magnoliopsida, Proteales, Proteaceae.
AAAGAAAAAAAAAUGCAACUAUUUGACAAAAUCGUUCCGAUAAAAAUACAAUUUCGCCUGGCUCUCUCACGGUUUUGCACACCACAGAGACGAGAGGUUCUCUUCCCAGCCUUCACGCACAGAGAAGAGAAAGGAGCAGCCGAGUCGUUCAUCUUCUUCCUUCUCUCUUUCAUUUCUUCUUCUUUCUACUCUCUGCUCUCUGCGCACAGAGAGGACUCCGCCGCGGUGGAUCGGAGCACGAAGGGCGCUCAUCUUCAACCUGCUCUGAUACGAGUAGAGGGAGAGAAACGAUAAAGCGGAAGGUUGGCGUGGGGAUCGUUGAAACGACCUCUUAAACCAAAGGGGAAGUGUUGAAGGAAUUCAGUUUAGGCUGCGUUUGAGCCCCAACCCAAUUUACAGAGAAGG